CCUACGGGCGGCUGCAGUGGGGAAUAUUGCACAAUGGGCGCAAGCCUGAUGCAGCCAUGCCGCGUGUGUGAAGAAGGCCUUCGGGUUGUAAAGCACUUUCAGCGGGGAGGAAGGCGGUGAGGUUAAUAACCUCAUCGAUUGACGUUACCCGCAGAAGAAGCACCGGCUAACUCCGUGCCAGCAGCCGCGGUAAUACGGAGGGUGCAAGCGUUAAUCGGAAUUACCGGGCGUAAAGCGCACGCAGGCGGUCUGUCAAGUCGGAUGUGAAAUCCCCGGGCUCAACCUGGGAACUGCAUUCGAAACUGGCAGGCUAGAGUCUUGUAGAGGGGAGUAGAAUUCCAGGUGUAGCGGUGAAAUGCGUAGAGAUCUGGAGGAAUACCGGUGGCGAAGGCGGCCCCCUGGACAAAGACUGACGCUCAGGUGCGAAAGCGUGGGGAGCAAACAGGAUUAGAUACCCUAGUAGUC
RNAcentral lists this ribosomal RNA (465 nucleotides) under uncultured Klebsiella sp. RNAcentral describes it as "bacterial SSU rRNA". It matches the Rfam family "Bacterial small subunit ribosomal RNA", at positions 338 to 795 of the family's 1533-position model. The record is from RNAcentral. Lineage: Bacteria; Pseudomonadati; Pseudomonadota; Gammaproteobacteria; Enterobacterales; Enterobacteriaceae.